This 131-nucleotide non-coding RNA is filed under the name Desulforamulus ruminis. Its description in RNAcentral is "Desulfotomaculum ruminis MoCo sequence". It matches the Rfam family "Molybdenum/Tungsten riboswitch aptamer (Moco RNA motif)". Lineage: Bacteria; Bacillati; Bacillota; Clostridia; Eubacteriales; Peptococcaceae. RNAcentral also lists the same sequence under 1 other name. The record is from RNAcentral.
UUUCUGACCGGCUUUUGAGCAGAUGUUCCUAAAGCAUGGCCAGGGGAUAUUUGUCGGGCAAUGCGGCCCAAAGGAUCUGAACGGAAACGUUGAUCCCUUCCUUUCAAGAAAGGAAGACAAUAGCAUACUUU